UAGGGAAUCUUCCGCAAUGGGCGAAAGCCUGACGGAGCAACGCCGCGUGAGUGAUGAAGGUCUUCGGAUCGUAAAACUCUGUUAUUAGGGAAGAACAAAUGUGUAAGUAACUAUGCACGUCUUGACGGUACCUAAUCAGAAAGCCACGGCUAACUACGUGCCAGCAGCCGCGGUAAUACGUAGGUGGCAAGCGUUAUCCGGAAUUAUUGGGCGUAAAGCGCGCGUAGGCGGUGUUUUAAGUCUGAUGUGAAAGCCCACGGCUCACCCGUGGAGGGUCAUUGGAAACUGGAAAACUUGAGUGCAGAAGAGGAAAGAGGAAUUCCAUGUGUAGCGGUGAGAUGCGCAGAGAUGUGGAGGAACACCAGUGGAGAAGGCGACUUUCUGGUCUGUAACUGACGCUGAGGCUAGAAAGCGUGGGGAGCGAACAGG
RNAcentral lists this ribosomal RNA (429 nucleotides) under Bacteroidota bacterium. Its description in RNAcentral is "Bacteroidetes bacterium partial 16S ribosomal RNA". It matches the Rfam family "Bacterial small subunit ribosomal RNA", at positions 355 to 776 of the family's 1533-position model. The record is from RNAcentral. Lineage: Bacteria; Pseudomonadati; Bacteroidota.